This 442-nucleotide ribosomal RNA is filed under the name uncultured bacterium. RNAcentral's name for it is "partial 16S ribosomal RNA". It matches the Rfam family "Bacterial small subunit ribosomal RNA", at positions 338 to 795 of the family's 1533-position model. The record is from RNAcentral.
CCUACGGGCGGCAGCAGUGGGGAAUAUUGGGCAAUGGACGCAAGUCUGACCCAGCCACGCCGCGUGAAGGACGAAGGCUUUCGGGUUGUAAACCUCUUUUAAGGGGGAAGAGCAGACGGCGGUACCCCUUGAAUAAGCCAUGGCUAACUACGUACCAGCAGCUGCGGCAAUACGGAGGGAGCAAGCGUUGUCCGGGUUUACUGGGUGUAAAGGGCGUGUCGCCGGAGAGACAAGUCAGAGGUGAAAUCCCCGGGCUCAACCCGUGCACUGCAUUUGAAACUGUUUCCCUUGAGUGGCUGAGAGGUAAUCGGAAUUCCUGGUGUAGCGGUGAAAUGCGUAGAUAUUAGGAAGAACACCAGUGGCGAAGGCGGAUUACUGGACGAUAACUGACGGUGAGGCGCGAAAGCGUGGGGAGCAAACAGGAUUAGAUACCCGAGUAGUC